CCUCUAUUAUUUAUUCUGUAAAGUAUGGGAACUGAACCUCAAAAGAAGGUUUUUGUCAGUUUGACAAUGCAUAGUAAAAUAAUUGCCUUUUAAAUUCAUUCCUUAGAAGAAGCAAAAAGAAGAAAAGAAGUUCCAGAAAAGAAAGCUAUUCAUGAAGUUAAAACAAAAGGUACUACCUUAUUUUAAAAUGUGGCAGUUAAUUUACCCACUCUUCAGAGACCUCUGCCUAUUAUAAUUCCUAAAGAAAUAGAAAUAAAAAUAAUUUAUGGUUCGUGUCUUAGAAGCAGAAGAAAGAAAAAAGGUAACUCACAAGAAGAAAAUUAUUCCUGAAAUUAAAGGGAAAGCUUUGGAACAGGAAAAGAAGGUAACCCAAGAGAAGAAAGCUAUUUCUGAAACAAAAAUUAAAGGGGGAAAAGAAGAAAGAAAGAAAGCUCUUGAGAAAACAGCUGUCCCUGAAGUUAAAAAGGCAGAACCAGAAAAAGCUCCUGCAGCCCAUCCAGCUUCUGUGAAGGUAGCUGUGCGAGAACCAUUCAAGAAAGAAAAGCCAGUCGAAAGAGCCAAGCAGCCAGUGAAGGAUGUGCCUGUAAAAGCAUCAGUUACACAAGAAACUCAUAAACCAAAAGAAACAGAACUAACCAAAAUAGAACCUGCUGCCCAUUUGACUAAAAAAGCAGUACAUGAAAAGAAAGAAGACAGAUUAUUAAAGGCAGUGGAGCAAGACAAACCAAAAUCCAAAGAAACAAAAGAUAUCAGAGGGAAAGAAGCAAAACAUGUGGCACCAAAAGUCAAAGAUGUUGCAAAAGAAAAAGUGAAGUCUCCUACUACUGUGAAAGAAAAAGAGGCAGUAAAACCAAAGGAAGUAAAGCCUACCAUUCCCCAGAAGCAGAAAGCACCUGAAGUGAUAAAAGAAACCAAAGAUACUUCUCAUCGUGCCAUUGCAGGACAAGAGGUUCUUAAGCACGACAAAGGAGCUCCUCAAGGAAAGCCAGAAGAAAUCACAGUAGCAGAUAAGAAAAAAGCAGAAAAGCCUUUGAAGGAAAAAGACAGAAAAAUGGCAGCGGUGACUCAUUUGAAAGAAGAAAAAGCCAAGGUCCCAGCAGUAAAAGAAUCCCAUCACCAUCGUAACAUGACAACAGACAAGCUUUCAAAGGCUUCAAAAGCAACAGCUGCUGUCCGCUACUAUCAGUGUGUCUUUGUAAAUGGAUACAAUGACUACAAACCGCAACACCCUGUUACCCCUGCCCAGGACUACAAAGGAAAGGCCGGGCAGACAAAAAAUUCUGGGCACAAGAUCAAGACACUGAAACAAUAG
RNAcentral lists this long non-coding RNA (1312 nucleotides) under Pogona vitticeps (central bearded dragon). RNAcentral's name for it is "lncRNA (ENSPVIG00000023027.1)". Lineage: Eukaryota; Metazoa; Chordata; Lepidosauria; Squamata; Agamidae. The record is from RNAcentral.